Molecule: ribosomal RNA, 519 nt
Filed under: uncultured eukaryote
Lineage: Eukaryota
Description: bacterial SSU rRNA
Rfam family: Eukaryotic small subunit ribosomal RNA
Source: RNAcentral
AGGGCACCACCAGGAGUGGAGCCUGCGGCUUAAUUUGACUCAACACGGGGAAACUUACCUGGUCCUGACACUAGAAGGAUUGACGGAUUGAUAGCUCUUUCUUGAUUUGGUGGAUGGUGGUGCAUGGCCGUUCUUAGUUGGUGGAGUGAUUUGUCUGGUUAAUUCCGAUAACGGACGGGACUCUAGCCUAUUAAAUAACACGCAGAAUCUUGUCUUCUGCGGUGUUUCUUAAUGGGAUCAAGUGUGUUUAACGCUUUGAGACAGAGCAAUAACAGGUCUGUGAUGCCCUUAGAUGUUCGGGGCUGCACGCGCGCUACAUUGAAAGACAAAAUGAGCCUUCCAGUUUUUAAUAAAGCUAGUAAUCUUUGAAUGUUUUUCUUAAUGGGGAUAGGGGAUUGCAAUUGUGCCCCUUGAACGAGGAAUUCCCAGUAAGUGCUAAUCAUUAGUUAGUACUGAUUACGUCCCUGCCCUUUGUACACACCGCCCGUCGCUACUACCGAUUGAAUGGUUUAGUGAGAU